GAUGAACGCUGGCGGCGUGCUUAACACAUGCAAGUCGAACGAUGAAGCCCAGCUUGCUGGGUGGAUUAGUGGCGAACGGGUGAGUAACACGUGAGUAACCUGCCCUUAACUCUGGGAUAAGUCUGGGAAACUGGGCCUAAUACCGGAUAGGAGCGUCCACCGCAUGGUGGGUGUUGGAAAGAUUUAUCGGUUUUGGCUGGCCUCGCGGCCUAUCAGCUUGUUGGUGAGGUAAUGGCUCACCAAGGCGACGACGGGUAGCCGGCCUGAGAGGGUGACCGGCCACACUGCGACUGAGAGACGGACCAGACUCCAACGGGAGGCAGCAGUGGAGAAUAUUGCACAGUGGGCGCGAGCCUGUGGCGGCGACGCCGCGUGAGGGAUGACGGCCUUCGGGUUGUAAACCUCUUUCAGUAGGGAAGAAGCGAAAGUGACGGUACCUGCAGAAGAAGCACCGGCUAACUACGUG
This 466-nucleotide ribosomal RNA is filed under the name uncultured bacterium. RNAcentral describes it as "partial 16S ribosomal RNA". It matches the Rfam family "Bacterial small subunit ribosomal RNA", at positions 28 to 507 of the family's 1533-position model. The record is from RNAcentral.